CGGGACGGGUGAGUGAUGUCUGGGAAACUGCCUGAUGGAGGGGGGUAACUACUGGAAACGGUAGCUAAUACCGCAUAACGUCGCAAGACCAAAGAGGGGGACCUUCGGGCCUCUUGCCAUCGGAUGUGCCCAGAUGGGAUUAGCUAGUAGGUGGGGUAAAGGCUCACCUAGGCGACGAUCCCUAGCUGGUCUGAGAGGAUGACCAGCCACACUGGAACUGAGACACGGUCCAG
RNAcentral lists this ribosomal RNA (233 nucleotides) under uncultured bacterium. RNAcentral's name for it is "partial 16S ribosomal RNA". It matches the Rfam family "Bacterial small subunit ribosomal RNA", at positions 100 to 334 of the family's 1533-position model. The record is from RNAcentral.